Molecule: ribosomal RNA, 557 nt
Filed under: uncultured Planctomycetota bacterium
Lineage: Bacteria; Pseudomonadati; Planctomycetota
Description: bacterial SSU rRNA
Rfam family: Bacterial small subunit ribosomal RNA
Source: RNAcentral
AGUGAACGCUAGCGGCGUGGAUUAGGCAUGCAAGUUGAGCGCGAAAGCUGAUGAAGGAUCCUUCGGGUGACUGAUUCCGCGAGUAGAGCAGCGCAAGGGUGAGUAAUACAUGGCUAACAUACCCCGAACAUGAGAUUAACUAUUAGAUAUGAUAGCUAAUGCUCAAUAGUUUCUUAAGACCUCCUGGUCUAAAGAAUAAAGGUAGGGAUCCUUCGGGACCUUCCGGUUUGGGAGUGGGUCAUGGGCUAUCAGCUAGUUGGUGAGGUAAAGGCUCACCAAGGCUAAGACGGCUAGGCGAUCUGAGAGGAUGAUCGCCCACAUCGGGACUGAAACACUGCCCGGACUCCUACGGGAGGCUGCAGUCGAGAAUCUUCCGCAAUGGGCGCAAGCCUGACGGAGCGACGCCCGCGUGAGGGAACGAAAGGCUUUUAGGGUCGUAAACCUCCUUUUCGCUUUGUUAAGAAAAAGUGUAUGUUAAUAGCAUGCACCCCUUGACAAAAGGCAAGUAAAGAAAGCACCCGGCUAAAAUCCCGUGCCCAGCCCGCCCGCGGUAAUAC